Non-coding RNA from Heterocephalus glaber (naked mole-rat), 1930 nucleotides. The record is from RefSeq and is a predicted model, not a curated record. Lineage: Eukaryota; Metazoa; Chordata; Mammalia; Rodentia; Bathyergidae.
AAACAAUGUUUUAAGGUGUCUUUUAGGAAAUCACUUCUGCACCUCGUCCUUCUUUGAAUGAAUCUAUAGCCCAAAUAUAUAAAGUAAUGGCAGAAUACCUCUUUUGUGGAAAGCUGGCAGUGCUGGCAUUCAGCUAGUUCCCUACCAGAAUUCUACCCUCCCUAAAAUUGUUAAGAUUCACUUAAUUAUGUCUUUUAGAUUGGGAUGGUUUCUAGCAGUUUUCCACUUUGCCAAUCUGCUUAAAAGAGACAACUAUCAUCAUUUAAUUUUACUCAUAAUUUCAGCCUCAUAUAGAAUACCUAACUGUUAAAAUUUUCCUGUGGCUACAAAAACUUAGUGAAAAGCUGGAUGUGGUGGCACAUGCCUGUAACCCCAGCACUCAGGAGGCUGAGGCAGGAGGAUUGCCAGGAGUUUGAGGCCAGCCUGGGCUACAUAGUGAGUUCAAUGCCAGCCUGGACUACAUAGAGAGACCCUGUCUCAAACCCCCCUGCCAAAAAAAGUGAAAAAUGUAAAUCUGAGUGAAAACAAGGAGCAAGACAACACAAUGAUAGAGAAAGACAGAAAAGAUUAUUGGCUAUAAUAUACAAAAAAAGGACAUUUUUCCAUGUUUCAGGUGUGAAAGGUGAAAAAGCAAAAUCAACACAACAGUAUCAUUUCAGAAACAACAGUGUACACUGCAAGCCUAGAAAGUUGAACAAAGCCAAAAGAACUUGACAUCUUUCAGGCCUGUACCAGGAAGGUCAAUGCUGAAUGGUGAAACCAAUCACAGAGUAAACUCACACAACACACUGACGUGACAACUGCUAUGGUUUGGAUCUAAAUGUCCCCCAGAGCCUCAGGUCUCAGAGGUGGCUUUUGGAAGGUGACUGUUCGUGGGGCACUGUACUCCUCAGUGGACUGAUCGAUCCACUGGUCAAACCAUAGCUGGAGGUGCAGUUAGGAGGUGGGGCCUGCUCAGAAGAGGUAAGUGACUGGGGGGUGACCUGGGAAAGCAUCUCCCUCUCCCCUCUCUCUCCUUCCUGGCCAUCAUGGGCUGAGCAGCUGUCCUCUGCCCAGGCCCGUUACCACCCUUUCUGCCUUUGAGCCAGCUGAUCAGGCGCUGAAAAUGUGUACUAAAAUCAGCCUCGGUUGCUUUAAGUUGUGGGUGUUGGGUAUUGUGUCCUAGGGAUUAGAAAGUAACUAAGACAGCAACACUUAGCAAUAGCAUUAACAAGUCUCACCUCAGUGCUUACUCAUUGUGUAGAAAAAAAUACAAAGAUUAAAAAACAGUGUAAUUUUCAAACAGGUCAUGCAACAAGAAAGAAAAGAGGAUUUCUGUUGUAACGUUUAAAAGAAGACUCACAGCAGCGAGCUAACCAACUGAGCAGAGAUGUUCAGAAGACCUAAUCCAAGACCUAAGGCCUUCUCUGACUUUUCACUCCCACUUCAUAAUGUGGAGCUAACAUAUGGACAUGCCUAGAUGGGAAUCAAGCUUCACUGGUCAGGACGGUCGGCCUACAUCGUGUGUUGUACCAAUGCACUUCGAGCAGGCUACAUGGACGAGAAGCACUCAUUUAAGGAGAGCCCUGUUGCUGGACAUGCGAGAUUGAUGCCAAUGGUUCUAUGGGAAAUGGAGUCACAAGAAAUUCAGGCCAGAAUUCAGGGUUGGGAGAAGUAUGAUGAUGUUCCAGAUGAUAUGACUGUAUUUGAAUAAAGGCAGUUUUAUACAUAAAUAAAGAUUGAUUUUAUUUAUUUAUUUAUUUUUUGUACCAGGGAUCGAACCCGGGUCUUUGCGCUUGCGAGGGCAGGCGGCAGAACCACUGAGCUAAAUCCCUGGCCCAAAUAUUGCUUUUAUAUAAAAAUGAAUAAAUGUAGCUUAUUAUACACGAAAAAAUAAGAUAUCCCCUGAAAAUAAGCCCUAUUUUGUCUUUUAUAGCAAAAAUUACUUUUG